GUCCCUGUAGCGCAAUGGAUAGCGCAUUGGACUUCUAAUCCAAAGGUCGUGAAUUCGAAUCUCACAUGGGAUG
RNAcentral lists this transfer RNA (73 nucleotides) under Trichonephila inaurata madagascariensis. It matches the Rfam family "tRNA". Rfam says of the family: Transfer RNA (tRNA) molecules are approximately 80 nucleotides in length. Their secondary structure includes four short double-helical elements and three loops (D, anti-codon, and T loops). Further hydrogen bonds mediate the characteristic L-shaped molecular structure. tRNAs have two regions of fundamental functional importance: the anti-codon, which is responsible for specific mRNA codon recognition, and the 3' end, to which the tRNAs corresponding amino acid is attached (by aminoacyl-tRNA synthetases). tRNAs cope with the degeneracy of the genetic code in two manners: having more than one tRNA (with a specific anti-codon) for a particular amino acid; and 'wobble' base-pairing, i.e. permitting non-standard base-pairing at the 3rd anti-codon position. Lineage: Eukaryota; Metazoa; Arthropoda; Arachnida; Araneae; Nephilidae. The record is from Rfam by way of RNAcentral.